This is a small nucleolar RNA of Mastomys coucha (southern multimammate mouse), 102 nucleotides long. RefSeq annotates it as small nucleolar RNA U13. The transcript has a single exon. NCBI's taxonomy places the organism in Eukaryota, Metazoa, Chordata, Mammalia, Rodentia, Muridae. The record is from RefSeq and is a predicted model, not a curated record.
AAAAUUUUGGUUUAUAUGUGUGAUGACUGGGUAUUCAUACCACCCCAUGAUAUGUGUUUCCCACAAACCUUGUUAUAACAUCAGUACAUUGCCCAUCUGAUA